UAGAAAGGUGACAGUGAUUGUGAUAGAAAGGUGAUAGAUACUGAUAGUGAUAGAAAGGUGAUGGAUAGUAAUGGUGAUAGAAAGGUAACAGUGAUAGUGAUAAGAAGGGUGAUAGAUAGAGGUUGUGAUAGAAAGGUGAUAGUGAUAGAAAGGUGAUAGAUAGUAAUGGUGAUAGAAAGGUCAUGGUGAUAGGAAGGUGAUAGUGAUCGUGAUAGAAAGGAGAUGGAUAGUGAAAGUGAUAGAAAGGUGAUAGUGAUAGAAAGGUGAUAGAUAGUAAUGGUGAUAGAAAGGUCAUAGUGAUAGGAAGGAGACGGAUAGUGAUUGUGAUAGAAAGGCGACAGAUAGUGAAAGUGAUAGAAAGGAGACAGAUAGUGAAAGUGAUAGAAAGGAGACGGACAGUGAUUGUGAUAGAAAGGAGACAGAUAGUGAAAGUGAUAGAAAGGAGACGGACAGUGAUUGUGAUAGAAAGGAGACAGAUAGUGAAAGUGAUAGAAAGGAGACGGACAGUGAUUGUGAUAGAAAGAAAGAUGAUAGUGAUAGAAAGGUGAUGAAUAGUGAUAGAAAGGUGAUAGAUAGUUAUCGUGAUAGAAAGGUGAUAGUGAUUGUGAUAGAAAGGUGAUGGAUAGUAAUGGUGAUAGAAAGAAAGGUCAUAGUGAUAGGAAGGUGAUAGUGAUUGUGAUAGAAAGGAGAUGGAUUGUGAAAGUGAUAGAAAGGUGAUAGAUAGUGAUUGUGAUAGAAAGGUGAUAGAUACAGAUAGUGAUAGAAAG
Molecule: long non-coding RNA, 767 nt
Organism: Ictalurus punctatus (channel catfish)
Lineage: Eukaryota; Metazoa; Chordata; Actinopteri; Siluriformes; Ictaluridae
Source: Ensembl